UGGGCGUAGCGCAGCGCAGGCGGUUUCUUAAGUCUGAUGUGAAAGCCCACGGCUCAACCGGGGAGGGUCAUUGGAAACUGGAAAACUUGAGUGCAGAAGAGGAAAGUGGAAUUCCAUGUGUAGCGGUGAAAUGCGCAGAUAUAUGGAGGAACACCAGUGGCGAAGGCGACUUUCUGGUCUGUAACUGACGCUGAUGUGCGAAAGCGUGGGGAUCAAACAGGAUUAGAUACCC
Molecule: ribosomal RNA, 232 nt
Filed under: Staphylococcus saprophyticus
Lineage: Bacteria; Bacillati; Bacillota; Bacilli; Caryophanales; Staphylococcaceae
Description: partial 16S ribosomal RNA
Rfam family: Bacterial small subunit ribosomal RNA
Source: RNAcentral